RNAcentral lists this ribosomal RNA (484 nucleotides) under uncultured bacterium. RNAcentral's name for it is "partial 16S ribosomal RNA". It matches the Rfam family "Bacterial small subunit ribosomal RNA", at positions 30 to 507 of the family's 1533-position model. The record is from RNAcentral.
AUUGAACGCUGGCGGCAUGCUUUACACAUGCAAGUCGAACGGCAGCACGGGCUUCGGCCUGGUGGCGAGUGGCGAACGGGUGAGUAAUAUAUCGGAACGUACCCAGAAGUGGGGGAUAACGUAGCGAAAGUUACGCUAAUACCGCAUACGAUCUAUGGAUGAAAGCAGCGGACCGCAAGGCCUUGUGCUCCUGGAGCGGCCGAUAUCUGAUUAGCUAGUUGGUGAGGUAAAGGCUCACCAAGGCGACGAUCAGUAGCUGGUCUGAGAGGACGACCAGCCACACUGGAACUGAGACACGGUCCAGACUCCUACGGGAGGCAGCAGUGGGGAAUUUUGGACAAUGGGCGCAAGCCUGAUCCAGCAAUGCCGCGUGAGUGAAGAAGGCCUUCGGGUUGUAAAGCUCUUUUGUCAGGGAAGAAACGGUAGAGGCUAAUAUCCUUUGCUAAUGACGGUACCUGAAGAAUAAGCACCGGCUAACUACGUG